GCCUAGGAAUCUGCCUGGUAGUGGGGGACAACGUUUCGAAAGGAACGCUAAUACCGCAUACGUCCUACGGGAGAAAGCAGGGGACCUUCGGGCCUUGCGCUAUCAGAUGAGCCUAGGUCGGAUUAGCUAGUUGGUGAGGUAAUGGCUCACCAAGGCGACGAUCCGUAACUGGUCUGAGAGGAUGAUCAGUCACACUGGAACUGAGACACGGUCCAGACUCCUACGGGAGGCAGCAGUGGGGAAUAUUGGACAAUGGGCGAAAGCCUGAUCCAGCCAUGCCGCGUGUGUGAAGAAGGUCUU
This 300-nucleotide ribosomal RNA is filed under the name uncultured Pseudomonas sp. Its description in RNAcentral is "bacterial SSU rRNA". It matches the Rfam family "Bacterial small subunit ribosomal RNA", at positions 115 to 418 of the family's 1533-position model. Lineage: Bacteria; Pseudomonadati; Pseudomonadota; Gammaproteobacteria; Pseudomonadales; Pseudomonadaceae. The record is from RNAcentral.